UACGUAGGGGGCAAGCGUUGUCCGGAAUUAUUGGGCGUAAAGAGCUCGUAGGCGGUUUGUUGCGUCGGCUGUGAAAUCCCGAGGCUCAACCUCGGGUCUGCAGUCGAUACGAGCAAACUAGAGUGUUGCAGGGGAGACUGGAAUUCCUGGUGUAGCGGUGAGAUGCGCAGAUAUCAGGAGGAACACCGGUGGCGAAGGCGGGUCUCUGGGCAACAACUGACGCUGAGGAGCGAAAGCGUGGGGAGCGAACAGG
RNAcentral lists this ribosomal RNA (253 nucleotides) under uncultured bacterium. RNAcentral describes it as "partial 16S ribosomal RNA". It matches the Rfam family "Bacterial small subunit ribosomal RNA", at positions 524 to 776 of the family's 1533-position model. The record is from RNAcentral.